ACUGUUUUGCUGGCCUGGUGAAGGCCUUCAUUUCUCUCGUCUCCUUCCAUGAACAUUGCCAGUGGGUGGCCAGAAGACAUGGAAACUCCUGAGCAGCUGUCCAAAUGUCUCUGAGUUCUGGGAAUGAGGAAGCCUGAAUAUACGUAGGCCACGGGCAGGUGACAGCUUGUGGCCUGGAUUCUGACAGCACAGUGUCCUGGGAGGAUCCAGAGAAGCCUGUGCUGGCUGGAACUUCCAUCUCUCCACCUCUGUGCUCAGGCAGCCCGAGCCUCUGGUUUUUCCCACUGGUUUCCUUAUGGAUGACCCACUGUCAAUCUUGGUCCCUUUGUGCUGCUAUAAC
RNAcentral lists this long non-coding RNA (340 nucleotides) under Ictidomys tridecemlineatus (thirteen-lined ground squirrel). Its description in RNAcentral is "lncRNA (ENSSTOG00000031256.1)". Lineage: Eukaryota; Metazoa; Chordata; Mammalia; Rodentia; Sciuridae. The record is from RNAcentral.